Molecule: ribosomal RNA, 253 nt
Filed under: uncultured bacterium
Lineage: Bacteria
Description: partial 16S ribosomal RNA
Rfam family: Bacterial small subunit ribosomal RNA
Source: RNAcentral
UACAGAGGGUGCGAGCGUUGUCCGGAAUCACUGGGCGUAAAGGGCGCGUAGGCGGCUUUUCAAGCGUGCGGUGAAAGCUCGGGGCUUAACUCCGAGUCUGCCGUGCGAACUGGGAGGCUUGAGUCUGGUAGAGGUCGAUGGAAUUCCGGGUGUAGCGGUGGAAUGCGUAGAGAUCCGGAAGAACACCGGUGGCGAAGGCGGUCGACUGGGCCAGUACUGACGCUGAGGCGCGAAAGCGUGGGGAGCGAACAGG